Molecule: RNase P RNA, 491 nt
Filed under: uncultured Dysosmobacter sp.
Lineage: Bacteria; Bacillati; Bacillota; Clostridia; Eubacteriales; Oscillospiraceae
Description: Bacterial RNase P class A
Rfam family: Bacterial RNase P class A
About the family: Ribonuclease P (RNase P) is a ubiquitous endoribonuclease, found in archaea, bacteria and eukarya as well as chloroplasts and mitochondria. Its best characterised activity is the generation of mature 5'-ends of tRNAs by cleaving the 5'-leader elements of precursor-tRNAs.
Source: RNAcentral
CAGUCGCGCGGAAGGGGCGAAAGGCCCUUCCGUGAGGAAAGUCCGGGCUCCACAGGGCAAGGAUAACGGGUAACGCCCGCCGAAGGCGACUUCAGGAAAAGUGCAACAGAGAGAUACCGCCUCGUCGUCGCAAGCUUCAUAUCCUUUGCCGCGCCGCACGCGGCACGGCGCACUCAUUCCGUUGCGCCUCCUCUUCCGAAAAGAACCGCUUUGCUGGGUUCUUUUCGGAGUUACGGGGGUAGGACGGGGGAUGCGAAAGGAUAUUGAGCUUGUGAUGACGAGGUAAGGGUGGAAAAGUGCGGUAAGAGCGCACUCAAUGGCUGGGAACAGUCCAUUGCUGUAAACUCUAUUCGGAGCAACACCGGUAUGGAAGCAGGGGCUUCACGCCCCAAGGCCGGCCCGGCCGCUUCCGGGGUGGCUUGAGCGUACCGGCAACGGUGCGUCGAGAUAGAUGACUGUCAGAUACAGAACCCGGCUUACAGUUUUGCUCG